UACGUAGGGUGCAAGCGUUGUCCGGAAUUAUUGGGCGUAAAGAGCUCGUAGGCGGUCUGUCACGUCGGCUGUGAAAACCCGGGGCUCAACCCCGGGCCUGCAGUCGAUACGGGCAGACUAGAGUGUGGUAGGGGAGACUGGAAUUCCUGGUGUAGCGGUGAAAUGCGCAGAUAUCAGGAGGAACACCGGUGGCGAAGGCGGGUCUCUGGGCCGUAACUGACGCUGAGGAGCGAAAGCGUGGGGAGCGAACAGG
Molecule: ribosomal RNA, 253 nt
Filed under: uncultured bacterium
Lineage: Bacteria
Description: partial 16S ribosomal RNA
Rfam family: Bacterial small subunit ribosomal RNA
Source: RNAcentral